RNA transcript from Felis catus (domestic cat), 1225 nucleotides. It is a transcript of the gene named hydroxysteroid 17-beta dehydrogenase 3, with no coding region annotated. The transcript is spliced from 12 exons. NCBI's taxonomy places the organism in Eukaryota, Metazoa, Chordata, Mammalia, Carnivora, Felidae. The record is from RefSeq and is a predicted model, not a curated record.
CGCCCUCGGAGGGCUGUGGAGGGGCCAGGCCAGGUCUGAAGCUGGUCCAGUGCAGUCAUGGGGGUAGCUCUGGAGCAGUUCUUCAUUUUUGUAGGGCUGCUGGCGUGCCUGGUGUACCUGGUGAAGUGUGUGAGAUUCUCCAAAUGUAUUUUUCUGCACUUCUGGAAAGUUUUGCCAAGGUCUUUCUUGAAGUCAAUGGGACAAUGGGCAGUGAUCACUGGAGCGGGAGAUGGGAUUGGGAAAGCUUAUUCAUUUGAGCUAGCAAGACAAGGACUCAAUGUUGUGCUUAUCAGCCGGACACUGAAAAAACUACAGGCCAUUGCUGCGGAGAUUGAGUGUACCACAGGGAGUAGCGUGAAGAUUAUACAAGCAGAUUUUACCAAAGACAACAUCUAUGAGCAUAUUAGAGAAAAACUUGAAGGCUUAGAAAUUGGAAUUUUAGUCAACAAUGUCGGAAUGCUUCCAAACCUUCUCCCGAGCCACUUCCUUGAUACACCAGAUGAAAUCCAGAGUCUCAUCCACUGUAACAUCACCUCAGUAGUGAAGAUGACACAGCUAAUUCUGAAACGCAUGGAAUCAAGGCGGAAAGGUCUCAUCUUGAACAUUUCUUCCGGGGUGGCCCUCUUUCCCUGGCCACUCUACUCCACGUAUUCGGCUUCCAAGGCUUUUGUGUGUACGUUUUCCAAAGCCCUGCAAGCGGAAUAUAAAAGGAAAGGAAUCAUUAUCCAGGUGCUGACUCCCUAUGCUGUUUCGACCCCAAUGACAAAGUAUCUAAACACCAACAUGGUAACCAAGACUGCUGAUGAGUUUGUUAAAGAAUCACUGAAUUAUGUCAUGAUUGGAGACGAAACCUGUGGUUGCCUCAUCCACGAAAUCUUGUAGAACCUUGGUAAAAAGAACCUGAAGACACUGGGGAGAUUGGGCACCAGGAAGAGGAAGUGCUUACUAAGAGAAGGAGGAAGGGGUGUGGGCGGAGCUUCCUGAACCUGAUCCCAUCCUGGGUUUUGUACAGCAGCACAUUCCAGAAGAAAUACAUGGACUACCUCAAGCACAAUACCAACACCAUAUAGUCCAAGUGGGCUGAUGCUCCAUCCAGCAUUGUUUUCCAAGUUCCGUGUUGGCUGUAGAAAACUUAUGAGCAGACCAGCACCUGCCACUCUUCUGAAGCUGGAGAUGCUGUGUCACAAAUACAGUACUGAAAAUACAACUUUUUUUUUCCAUUUUA